AUUGAACGCUGGCGGCAGGCCUAACACAUGCAAGUCGAGCGGCAGCGGGAAGUAGCUUGCUACUUUGCCGGCGAGCGGCGGACGGGUGAGUAAUGUCUGGAAACUGCCUGAUGGAGGGGGAUAACUACUGGAAACGGUAGCUAAUACCGCAUAAUGUCGCAAGACCAAAGAGGGGGACCUUCGGGCCUCUUGCCAUCAGAUGUGCCCAGAUGGGAUUAGCUAGUAGGUGGGGGAACGGCUCACCUAGGCGACGAUCCCUAGCUGGUCUGAGAGGAUGACCAGCCACACUGGAACUGAGACACGGUCCAGACUCCUACGGGAGGCAGCAGUGGGGAAUAUUGCACAAUGGGCGCAAGCCUGAUGCAGCCAUGCCGCGUGUAUGAAGAAGGCCUUCGGGUUGUAAAGUACUUUCAGCGGGGAGGAAGGUGUUGAGGUUAAUAACCUCAGCAAUUGACGUUACCCGCAGAAGAAGCACCGGCUAACUCCGUGCCAGCCGCCGCAGUAA
RNAcentral lists this ribosomal RNA (505 nucleotides) under uncultured bacterium. RNAcentral's name for it is "partial 16S ribosomal RNA". It matches the Rfam family "Bacterial small subunit ribosomal RNA", at positions 30 to 523 of the family's 1533-position model. The record is from RNAcentral.